Amblyraja radiata (thorny skate) is the source of this 770-nucleotide long non-coding RNA. RefSeq lists it as uncharacterized. Lineage: Eukaryota; Metazoa; Chordata; Chondrichthyes; Rajiformes; Rajidae. The record is from RefSeq and is a predicted model, not a curated record. The transcript has 3 exons.
GCGGACAGACGCGGCUCCGACAAACUCAUUACAGGGGUCGAGGCGGGGACCCGCCAACGUUUGAAGAAGGGAUGUACCUCUGCUCGCUGGUGCUGUCCGGACUGUUACUGGUUCUACUCUCCGCGGAGGCCAAACCUUUGGCUCCGUCGACCCAGGAUCCUGCACAUUUAGCGGGUGAACAGUCCCUAGGGAUUACCCCCACAGAAGGAUGGGAUGACAUGACGAAUGUGAGGGGCAAAGUACGUCUUAUCCGCAACGCCGAUCUCGAGGGCCGGCACCCGCGGAAGAAUAAGAAGCGCCGCAAAAAGAAAAAGGGUUGUUUCCGAGUGCGGAUGGACAAGAUAGGCGCAAUGAGCAAGUUGGGCUGUUAGACGCCACACUCCCAGCCACGGACACCGGACUCCGAACACUUUCUGGACGUCUUCUUGUUUUGCGAAAGUAGCGUUUCCUCCGAAAACGACGCCGUUUCUCCCGGUACGAAGAAUGACAUUUACCAGCGACUCUUUUGAAGAACCGCGACGGAUCAUGACUGUUUAUUUAAUUUCUGCAUAAAUGUAUUUAUGUUUAAACUAUAUCUUUAUAAAAGAAAGAUAUUUAUGAAAGUUUAUUUAUGUAACAAACUGAAGAGAGGGUUUGUAACACUUUAACAAGUAGAAUUUGUAACAUUUGUCCUAAUAGCGAUUACGUGUUAAAUUGCAUUUGACGACAGUCCGACAGUCUUUAUUUAUUGUAGUCCGUGAAAUACGAAAUAAACACAGACCUGCCAGCUC